UAAACAAAACUAAUUAGUUUAUCAUCAAUUGUUUAUAUUUAAUUAGAAAACGUAGUGUUGCAUUUAAAGAGCGGCCAUUUUGCAGUCUGCGAGACUGGUUGACAAACGUCAAUAUAGAAAAAUGUUUUAUUUUCAAGUUUUUGUAUUAUUUUUGUUGGUACUUUCCGUGCAUUCAGACCAAAUGGAUUUGGACCUGCCAUGUCCAGUUGAUACAUUCUCUCAGGACUAUAGUUCACAGAUCUAUGGCUCCCCCCUACCAGUACUUCCCCCACUAACAAUCACUGUCAAUUACGAUAAAUCUGAGGCCAAUGAUGAAAAGUCUGGUACAAAUGAAAGACGAACAGAAGAGAUGAGAAAAUCAAAUUUAAUACACAACCUCCUACACCUACCCUCCGCUGUAGCAGACUCGUUGACAAGAGGAGUAAAACACAGUUGUAAUUAAAUAAAAUGUUUUAUUUGUAAUAAAAGGUUAAUUUAU
This is a long non-coding RNA of Pieris brassicae (large cabbage white), 478 nucleotides long. RefSeq lists it as uncharacterized. The record is from RefSeq and is a predicted model, not a curated record. The transcript has 3 exons. NCBI's taxonomy places the organism in Eukaryota, Metazoa, Arthropoda, Insecta, Lepidoptera, Pieridae.